Molecule: ribosomal RNA, 253 nt
Filed under: uncultured bacterium
Lineage: Bacteria
Description: partial 16S ribosomal RNA
Rfam family: Bacterial small subunit ribosomal RNA
Source: RNAcentral
UACGUAGGGGGCAAGCGUUGUCCGGAUUUAUUGGGCGUAAAGAGCUCGUAGGCGGCUUGUCACGUCGGGUGUGAAAGCCCGGGGCUUAACCCCGGGUCUGCAUUCGAUACGGGCAGGCUAGAGUGUGGUAGGGGAGAUCGGAAUUCCUGGUGUAGCGGUGAAAUGCGCAGAUAUCAGGAGGAACACCGGUGGCGAAGGCGGAUCUCUGGGCCAUUACUGACACUGAGAAGCGAAAGCAUGGGGAGCGAACAGG